CAAUAGCGUAUAUUAAAGUUGUUGCGGUUAAAAAGCUCGUAGUUGGAUUUCUGCUGAGAACGACCGGUCCGCCCUUUGGGUGUGUAUCUGGCUCUUUCUUGGCAUCUUCUUGGUGAACGUUGCUGCACUUGACUGUGUGGAGCGCUACCCAGGACUUUUACUUUGAGGAAAUUAGAGUGUUUCAAGCAGGCAUACGCCUUGAAUACAUUAGCAUGGAAUAAUAAGAUAGGACCUCGGUUCUAUUUUGUUGGUUUCUAGAGCUGAGGUAAUGAUUAAUAGGGAUAGUUGGGGGCAUUCGUAUUUAACUGUCAGAGGUGAAAUUCUUGGAUUUGUUAAAGACGGACCACUGCGAAAGCAUUUGCCAAGGAUGUUUUCAUUGA
This 380-nucleotide ribosomal RNA is filed under the name uncultured eukaryote. RNAcentral describes it as "partial 18S ribosomal RNA". It matches the Rfam family "Eukaryotic small subunit ribosomal RNA", at positions 592 to 976 of the family's 1831-position model. The record is from RNAcentral.